CUGGUCCUGGGCUCUAUUUCACAUUCGUCGGGAGGUUCCUCAGCACUCUUGAGACCCAAAGCUCAAGAGCUACAUGCGCUGACUUCCUCCCCCAUCCCUCACAUCCCCACACAUCCACAGCUGUCGGGAUGGUCAUGGCCCUGAAGGGGGUCCCCCAGGCAGCGUCUCUGGUACGGGCUAAAAUGGUCCUGCAAGACAGGAGGUCCAGCAUCUACAGCAAGCCACCCAAGACCAAGAUCGGACCUGGGGUGUGCGCCCUAACAAGCUGUCUGGUGACCUAGAGGCCGGAGAGGGAGCACACGCAACAGCAAAGCUUCUUUAUCAUGUCCGUCUUUGCUGUCGGCAUGCUUGCUCCGGCCGGCUGGAUCAUGCACCACAUCCCAGAGUACCGCCAAAGACCACGUCCUUCAUCAAGACCGUCGUAAAGAAGAAGACCCCAACAUCUUCACACACACACACACACGCACGCUACAAACCACGGCUGUAUUCAACAUAUUAGCCACCAUGCUAUCAAAUACUGUACCUUGCUAAUGUAUAACAACACACAUUAUCUACAGUAUAAAUGAUACUCAAUGGCCACAAUAAUAACGGGAAAAUAACAUGCACUUUGAAGGGACCAUGGAAGACAUUUCUGCAUGACUGUCAUGAGUAUGUUUUUGUAUGAUGUCUUUUUUUUAUUUUAAAUAUUCUGAGUAUUGCAGUAGCAUGGUGUCUAAUGUCUCAUGAAUAUGGCCCCUAAUGUCACUGCUGCAUCCAGUUGCAAUGACACGUCUGUAAAACUGCCAACUCACUGCCAUCAUCAAUAAAUACAUGCUGUGUUGGCAA
This is a long non-coding RNA of Oncorhynchus tshawytscha (Chinook salmon), 825 nucleotides long. The record is from Ensembl. NCBI's taxonomy places the organism in Eukaryota, Metazoa, Chordata, Actinopteri, Salmoniformes, Salmonidae.